RNAcentral lists this ribosomal RNA (1275 nucleotides) under Salmonella enterica. RNAcentral describes it as "partial 23S ribosomal RNA". It matches the Rfam family "Bacterial large subunit ribosomal RNA", at positions 1676 to 2925 of the family's 2925-position model. The record is from RNAcentral. Lineage: Bacteria; Pseudomonadati; Pseudomonadota; Gammaproteobacteria; Enterobacterales; Enterobacteriaceae.
GAAUACCAAGGCGCUUGAGAGAACUCGGGUGAAGGAACUAGGCAAAAUGGUGCCGUAACUUCGGGAGAAGGCACGCUGACACGUAGGUGAAGUGAUUUACUCAUGGAGCUGAAGUCAGUCGAAGAUACCAGCUGGCUGCAACUGUUUAUUAAAAACACAGCACUGUGCAAACACGAAAGUGGACGUAUACGGUGUGACGCCUGCCCGGUGCCGGAAGGUUAAUUGAUGGGGUCAGCGCAAGCGAAGCUCCUGAUCGAAGCCCCGGUAAACGGCGGCCGUAACUAUAACGGUCCUAAGGUAGCGAAAUUCCUUGUCGGGUAAGUUCCGACCUGCACGAAUGGCGUAAUGAUGGCCAGGCUGUCUCCACCCGAGACUCAGUGAAAUUGAACUCGCUGUGAAGAUGCAGUGUACCCGCGGCAAGACGGAAAGACCCCGUGAACCUUUACUAUAGCUUGACACUGAACAUUGAGCCUUGAUGUGUAGGAUAGGUGGGAGGCUUUGAAGUGUGGACGCCAGUCUGCAUGGAGCCGACCUUGAAAUACCACCCUUUAAUGUUUGAUGUUCUAACGUGGACCCGUGAUCCGGGUUGCGGACAGUGUCUGGUGGGUAGUUUGACUGGGGCGGUCUCCUCCUAAAGAGUAACGGAGGAGCACGAAGGUUGGCUAAUCCUGGUCGGACAUCAGGAGGUUAGUGCAAUGGCAUAAGCCAGCUUGACUGCGAGCGUGACGGCGCGAGCAGGUGCGAAAGCAGGUCAUAGUGAUCCGGUGGUUCUGAAUGGAAGGGCCAUCGCUCAACGGAUAAAAGGUACUCCGGGGAUAACAGGCUGAUACCGCCCAAGAGUUCAUAUCGACGGCGGUGUUUGGCACCUCGAUGUCGGCUCAUCACAUCCUGGGGCUGAAGUAGGUCCCAAGGGUAUGGCUGUUCGCCAUUUAAAGUGGUACGCGAGCUGGGUUUAGAACGUCGUGAGACAGUUCGGUCCCUAUCUGCCGUGGGCGCUGGAGAACUGAGGGGGGCUGCUCCUAGUACGAGAGGACCGGAGUGGACGCAUCACUGGUGUUCGGGUUGUCAUGCCAAUGGCACUGCCCGGUAGCUAAAUGCGGAAGAGAUAAGUGCUGAAAGCAUCUAAGCACGAAACUUGCCCCGAGAUGAGUUCUCCCUGAGACUUUAAGUCUCCUGAAGGAACGUUGAAGACGACGACGUUGAUAGGCCGGGUGUGUAAGCGCAGCGAUGCGUUGAGCUAACCGGUACUAAUGAACCGUGAGGCUUAACCUUACA